AAUUAAUUUAUUAACUUUGCCAGAUAGUAUUAACAGUUAUUACAAAGUAAUAAUUUAACGAAUUAACUAGACUAUAUGGCAGGGUAUUCGCAACAGCGAUUAGCCAAUUACUGCGAACCCAAGGACAAUACGUUAACAUCAAAUAGCAAAAAAACUAACAACUAACUUCAUGCAUUUAUACAACUAUAUAUUUAGCUAGCUACGGCAACUGAUCAUGCUAUGAUAAUAACAUGCACUAGCUGAAAAGAAAUUGAACAAUAAUCAAUGCAUGCUACCGACUAUAUAAGCAUAGCACGAGCAGUUGCCAUGUAGCUAGCUGUGCUGAAAUUUUCAAUAACAGCAAGAUAUUGGAGACGCUAAACUACGAACACAGUUGCAUUUCAAGCAUAAAGAUCUAAAUGUUCGCGGAUUUUCAGGAUUAUAAGUAAUGUCAACAGAGGUAAAAUAAUAAUUGAGUAAACAUGAUUUAAAUACAGCGAGACUGUCCGUAUGAAGGUCUAUUGCGUCUAUUAGUGUGUUCCAUAUUCUGGAAGUUCUAACGAGGAAGGAUUUCUGGUAGCUGGUUGUUUUACAUCUGGGGAUGACAUACUUGACUGUGUUGCUUGAAUUUGAGCGAGUGGUUCUGCGAGAAUUCUGAAUAACUGGAGAGGCGCUUGUUUUCACUAAACCAUGUGUGAUCUUAAAGAAUAGAAUCAAAUCAAGGUAUUCGUGCCAGUAGCAUAUUGGGAGGAGAUGCAACGACUGCAGUCUUGAUUUAUAGUCUAUAUCCGAGGAGAACGGUACAUUUAGAAUAUAUUUGGUAGCACGUCGUUGGGUUCGUUCAAGAUGGUUGAUAAGUUCUAUUGAUUGUGGUGCCCAAAUUUGUGUUGCAUAACCAAAAUGUGACAGAACUAGGGCCAGGUAGAACAUCCGUCUUGCUUCAGUACUUUUCACGAAUCUGGUGUUUCUUUUGAUGUAGCCAAGGGACUUGUUCGCUUUUGACGUCUGGUUGCACACUUGUUUUUUCCACGUAAGAUUGGAAGACACCCAUACGCCAAGGUCUCUUUCGCAGUCGGUGG
Paramuricea clavata is the source of this 1058-nucleotide non-coding RNA. The record is from the annotation of a GenBank genome assembly. Lineage: Eukaryota; Metazoa; Cnidaria; Anthozoa; Malacalcyonacea; Plexauridae.